AUGAUGAAACAUGUUGUUCUUUUCUCUGUGAAUCAUAGUUCAGGAAGCACGCUAAUAACAGUACUCACCACAGCUACCAACGGAGAGCCAUACAUUAAUAUGGAAGCCACCAAACCAAUGCUACCGACAAAUACUUUACGCAUUUGGUGGGUGUGGAAUGAGAAAAUUGAGAAAAAUACAGCCAUGCCGAAGAUGAUUAGAAUUGGAGAUACCAUCAUCAUGACAAGCUUCUGCAAAAGAUUGCCAACACUGGCAUCCAUAUUUUCUUACCGCAAAGUUACUGACAUGCUAAUGGAAGGAGAAUCACAGAUCUUGAGAAAUAACUUACCUUUUUCUCUCGUGGUGCAAACCAUAUGUAUAUACUGA
RNAcentral lists this ribosomal RNA (366 nucleotides) under Triticum aestivum (bread wheat). RNAcentral's name for it is "partial small subunit ribosomal RNA". The record is from RNAcentral. Lineage: Eukaryota; Viridiplantae; Streptophyta; Magnoliopsida; Poales; Poaceae.